This is a long non-coding RNA of Girardinichthys multiradiatus, 5360 nucleotides long. RefSeq lists it as uncharacterized. NCBI's taxonomy places the organism in Eukaryota, Metazoa, Chordata, Actinopteri, Cyprinodontiformes, Goodeidae. The record is from RefSeq and is a predicted model, not a curated record. The transcript has 3 exons.
CCUGGAUUGACUUCGUUUGAACCGGAGGCGCUGGGAAACCUGGUAGAGGGAAUGGAUUUCCACAGAUUCUACUUUGAGAAUCUUUUGGCUAAGAACAACAAGCCCAUCCACACCACCAUCCUGAACCCCCACGUCCACUUGAUUGGCGAGGACGCCGCCUGCAUCGCGUACAUCCGGCUGACUCAGUUUGUCGACAACCAGGGCCAGCCGCGCUCCAGCCAGUCAGAGGAAACGCGUGUCUGGCAUCGCAGAGACAGCAAGUGGCAGAACAUCCACUUCCACUGCUCAGGCGCGCCAGCUGCGCCUCUCCAGUGAGGGGUUGAAUGCUGUAGUUGUGUCUGUCAGGAAUGAUCUGCUGGAGAGAGAAGAGGAGGAUGAAGUGAUGAAGGAACACAUCCAGUGUUGACUUGGAGGACAUGGCUCAUCACGCCUCAACAAAAAAAAAUCCCUCUUUCACUGGACUCCCAGCCUCCAUCCCCCAGCAUGCAUCUCUACUUUUACAGCUAUGACCCCGGCUCUGUCAGCAUCCACAACAUGAGCUCCUGACAACUAUCCGACAUCGGCUACACAUCGCUCAGCAGCUUGACACCACUAGCCUUCGACUUCUUCUCGUCUUCUUCUUCUCUCCAGCUGGGUGUUUGAUUCGGGGUGGGACUCCUCCAUUCUGCGGUCUCUCCUUCCCCAACAAUAUUUUUGUGACACCAACCCUCUUGUUCUCCUGUGAAUCUACACCUUUGUGACAUAAACACUUCACUGGAAAAACAGUAUGUAAAGUUUUAAGUAAAAUCUAUAAUUAUCAUUACUAUAUUAUGAUUAUGAUUAUUAUUGUUACACAUUUGCAAUUGUAUAUGUACUUUGUAUAAUUCAGAUUUCUUGAUGCCAGUGGUUUUUAGAGUUGAAGGAAUUUUUUUGUUUUAUCUUUUUAAGGAAGCAUGUUUUAUCCCCAUAGUAACAGUGGCUUUUUAUUUUUUAUUGUGGCUGUUAAGUGGAAAAGGAUUAUUGGCCGUUUGUCUAAUUUGCUUCUUCUGCAUGAGUUAAAAACUGCACUUGAAGUCCUGGUUCAAACGUUUCUGUCGGUUUUGGUAUCUUUACUUUUUAUCGUUCGGUCUUUGUUGUUGCUUCUUGGAAGGGGUGUUUCUGAUCGGUGUCAUUGAAGAAUGUAGAGUAUGAUGUUACAGCUGGGCUCAGAAGUUUACAUACAGUCAUCAUGGGCAUGGAUGUCGUUAAGUUGGGCUGAAACUUAUUUAAACUUUUACCUUUCCUGUCUAUUGUUCCAAAAACACAACUUUAAUUAUUUUUAAAUGCAAGUUUGGUUUUACUGUGGAUUUUAUCUCAAGACAGAGAGUCAUAAUUAUACAUACAGGCUCAAAUUUAUGGAGAAAUCCCCACUGAUAUUUGGUAAAUGUUCCUUAGCAAGUUGCAUCUCUACCAAAUUAUUUUGGUACCCAUCAGCAAGCUUCUUUCAUACUUCUGGCUCCAUGUUUGAUCUGAUGUCUUAGCAGGAAUUUAAUAGUUUAUUUUAACUGGUUUGUUUUUUUGGUUCAUUUAUUCUAAAACCAGUUCAGAUGUGUUUUUUGAAUUGUUAUCCUGUUUAAACAACCAGUUGUUGAUUUGAGGUAAAAAGUCUUCCUUUUUCAUUAUUCCCUAUACUUUACGCAAUGUACCAGUAUCACCGACAGGAAAACAGUCCCACAGCAUGAUGCUGCCAACCACCAUGCUUGACUGAUGAUCCAGUGUUCUUAAGCCUGAAACCCCUAACUUGACUCUUCCAAACUUCUUUUCACUGUAGCCAAACAGCUCAAUCUUUCUCCCAUCUGGCCAUAAAACAGAAGCCAUGUACCUUAUUCAAAGUUCAGUUUUGCCUGAAGGUGUCAAUUUUGGAGCAGGGGCUUCUUUCUUGGUCAUCAGAUGUAAACUGUGGACAGUGACACUAGGCUUCCAGAAGCUUCAAGUUCAUGGCAGGUUGAAGCCUUUGUGUCUCCUGGGCUGUCCUAAAUAUUUCCCUUUUAUCUGAUGGUGACCAUUUGGGUCUUAGCAAAGUGGUAUAAAAUCCAUAUACAGUAAUUCAAUGAUUGGGUACAAUUAUUUAAACAGAUCAUCGGGGACUAUCAAAAUAUUUAGAAAAGGCAAUCCUAAAUUGUGUUCCCAAAUCUAAAGUUUUCCUUCUUAGAUCUUUGCUAAGUUCCUUGGUCUUUCCUACUGUUCUUAUCAUUUGUCAGUUCUAUCAAAAAAUAUUUUAAUCCCAGCUAAGAGAAACUGCUAGCUGGAAUCAAUUAUUAUAACUGACCAGAAGUUAAGAAAUUGUAAAACAUUCAGCACCAUUCAUUAGAAGGUAUAUGGUAUAUGAGGUUAGGGUUAGGGGUUCGUAAAAGUCAAUUUGGUUGUUUAUUAUAAGUGAGGCUGGAAAAAGAACUGUUCAAAUAAAUUAAUAAAGUUCUGAACAGAUGAAAGUAAACUUAUGAUCAGAACUGUACAUGACGUGUGUCUGUGGGCAUGGUCGUGCAAGGUAGAGAGGUAGCAUUCACAGUUCACUCCAGGUAACUGAGCACAAUCUGAGGAGCCUGAUGUUGUUUCUUAGCUGCAGUGUUUGCGCAGGAAAGAGUCUUUGCUAAGGUCUGAAGCACAUAAACUUAUCAAGAAGAAAACUUUCUUUCCCACCUUGUUCUAACUUGUGCUCAGGAGCUCUGAUUCAUGUCUUACAACCACAUAAAGCUGCAAAACCUAAAGCAGUGUUGUAAAAAUGCACAAGAACACAUUGUCUACAGAGCUGGUUUUUAGUUCUUUUUUAAGAGCGUAUACAUGCGUCAUAAGAAAAGUGUCAGAUUAGAAGGAAGCACUGCUGAAGACUCCCUCUGUUUUUAGUCAGACCUGAAGCUCAGUGACUCAUCCUGAACCUGUUUGGUGCUUGUUAUUUUCUGGGCAGACGGGGAUGCUCUGUUGGUGUCUCCUGCUGUUGCUUGGAGACAGAUGAACACCCGCCUGAAGCUCAGCGCUUUCUCUUAAAAAGACGGACUUAUUUUUAACCCUGCUACAGCUGCACUGCUGCCUAGAACACAGCAGCAGGUUCUUUGUCUUUAAUUGAAAGUGACAAAAGAAGUCAGAGCUCUGAAUGACGGAUCCUUUGGGAUAUGUGACCUUUCUCGUUUCUGAAGCCAUAGAGCAAAAAGCUGGUGCCACUGCUGCUUCUUCCAAAUGACGCACAUUCAAAAACUACGACUCCAACCCGCAGCUGUGAGGAAUCAUGACGGCUGUUUGCUUGGUGCUUCAAUCAUGUCGGUCUUUUAAUACGCUGUGCAAUAUAUUUGUAUGUGCAUGUAGAUGUAAAGCUUUCAUUGUGUGCUCUUUAAAACCCUGGGAGGAAAUUCUGGAGGUGUUUAUGAGAAAUGGAAAGAGAGGGCCUUCAACCCAGGUCAAAUUAGAUAUUUUUUGCUUUGUUUUUUAUGCUUUUACUUCAUUAUGUUUGGUUUGUGUACAGCAUUAUUAGCCUUUCAUAAGUGCUUGUACCAGAGGCAGCAGGGUAGAACAGAUGGACUUUGCAGCGCUGAAAACCGAUGAUUUGUUUUAGUGAAGGUUCGUCUCACGAUCAACUCUGCUGUUCUUCGUCCACCAAUGGGUUCCUUUGCGUUUUAUCUCACCGCUUGGUCUGAACAAGAAAUUCAAAGAGACCCAGCAGUCGGUGUGGUGAACAGUCCUCAGGUUUUUAUUUAUUUUGAGUAUUUAUUUAUUUAUUUUAGUCAAUGUUUUUAUUGUGCUUUAUUAUUUUUUCUUAUUAAUUUGUUCUCCUGUUGUACAACUCCUGCAAUUGUGCAAAAGUACUGUUUGUUGUUGUUCAAACAGAAAUUUGCUCCAUGUAAGACCAGUUCUUAAAGGGAUAGCGCACCUAAUUACGCCAACAUGCAGUGAGUUAGUUCUUUGGAGUGCCAAAAGUUCCACAAUGUAAAAAAUAAAUGAAUAUUUUUUUUUUAUUAUAAUAAAAUCAAAACCAGAAAAUUAAAUGUAUCCAUAAUUAUUUUAGUACUUCACUAAAGUAAAUAAAAUUAAUAGUUUAUGCUAAAGUUAAAUAAUAAAUAAUCUAUGCAUUUAUAUUGAAGUUCUAAUAAUUAAAAGACACAUUUGGUAAUAAUUUAAUGAUUUAUUUUCCUUAUUGAAUUGCGGCACAUUUGGACCUCCAUAGAGUUUUUUAAGCUAAUGUUUUAUGUGGGACACUUUAUGACUCAUAUUAUACAGGAUUGUAUUUUGUGUGAACUGUCCUUCAUAUGCUUCAUCAACACGUUCUUUAUAGGAUGGUGAAUUUUGUCAGAUGAAGCCUUUUCUCACCACUUAGUUUGUAUUGUACUCAUGUCUCAUCCAAUAAGAACGUUCAUGUCUACUUCUACAUGUUUUAAUACUAAGAGGUCGUUGUCCGAACAUGACCCCGACCCUCCUGAAAAAAAGAAGAAAUAGCAGCAUGUUCAGUACCAAGGUGAUGUUCUUCUGUUCUUUUUAGUGUUUCUAGCCUUGAAAAUCAGUAUGAUAAGACUCACAUAUUUAAAAUGAGGGAGUACACAGUAUUACAGCACUGCUAAUAGCAGCGUAGCUUUCAUCUUCGUGCAUGACAGUCAAAAGGACUCUUGGUUUUUUGGUGUUUUUAUUUGGGUUCUCAUUUUCUACUAAAUGCUGGUGAACUCGACCUUUCUCUAUUUUCUCAGCUUUUUAAGUGCAUAUAACUAUUUUUGUCUCCAGAUAAUAUAAUGAAGAUUAUCCAUAUGGUAAGGAUUAUUAUAUUCAUGAGUGUGGCACUAAGGAUGACUAUGAUGAAGUCGAUGUUGAUGAUGAUGAUGUGUUGAUGAUACUUUUGCAUGCUUUUCUAUGGGUUCUCAGUGUUGUCAGUGCAGUGGUUGUCUCCUAGGUGGAGGUGCUCCAGCAGGAGGUGCAGUCGCACCACAUGAGCACAAACUGACUGUUAUUUGACAGAAAUAUUUGAUCCAGAAAUUGGAUCAGAGAGAGAGAGAGUCCAAUUCAUUACAGCAACAACAGUAGAGACAAACUGGAGCCACCAUGUUCACUCUGAACUUCUGCCAUCUUCCUGCAGCAGAGACUAAGCUGCUCUGACAGCACUGAGCUGGUUUCUCUUCCCAGGGAGUCUUUCUCUCUUUCCUGCUCCCUUUGUUUCCAGCCUUCUUCAAUCAUUUCUCUGCAGUUGGCUCUUUCUAGUUUCCCUUUGUCUCUUAUUGUCAGUUUGACUUUCUUCUGUAUAAUAUUAAUCCUCUAGUUCUCCGAUUCUUCAGAUUAUUGCUUCGUUCUCUUACGUGCUACACGUGUUUCUCUAACUUCAAGAAAAUGUGUUAAGGUGUUAUCAAUAAAAUGAGUUUAAAUAGAAA